This 430-nucleotide ribosomal RNA is filed under the name Pseudomonadota bacterium. Its description in RNAcentral is "Proteobacteria bacterium partial 16S ribosomal RNA". It matches the Rfam family "Bacterial small subunit ribosomal RNA", at positions 355 to 776 of the family's 1533-position model. Lineage: Bacteria; Pseudomonadati; Pseudomonadota. The record is from RNAcentral.
UGGGGAAUAUUGGACAAUGGGGGGAACCCCGAUCCAGCCAUGCCGCGUGUGUGAAGAAGGCCUUAUGGUUGUAAAGCACUUUAAGCGAGGAGGAGGGUACUGGUAUUAAUACUACCAGCUACUGGACGUUACUCGCAGAAUAAGCACCGGCUAACUCUGUGCCAGCAGCCGCGGUAAUACAGAGGGUGCGAGCGUUAAUCGGAUUUACUGGGCGUAAAGCGUGCGUAGGCGGCUAAUUGAGUCGGAUGUGAAAUCCCCGAGCUUAACUUGGGAAUUGCAUUCGAUACUGGUUAGCUAGAGUGUGGGAGAGGAUGGUAGAAUUCCAGGUGUAGCGGUGAAAUGCGUAGAGAUCUGGAGGAAUACCGAUGGCGACGGCAGCCAUCUGGCCUAACACUGACGCUGAGGUACGAAAGCAUGGGGAGCAAACAGG